This is a long non-coding RNA of Aphis gossypii (cotton aphid), 3120 nucleotides long. RefSeq lists it as uncharacterized. The record is from RefSeq and is a predicted model, not a curated record. Lineage: Eukaryota; Metazoa; Arthropoda; Insecta; Hemiptera; Aphididae. The transcript is spliced from 4 exons.
UACUGUAGCUCUUAGUUUAUUCACAAUUAUUAAAACUACCUGUAGCCAAAUUUACUUUUUGUUUUUGUUCUCUAUUCAUUACCUUUUACCAAUCUCAUUAGUAAUUCGGUCUACUUGACCACUACUAAAAUAAUAAUGAUAAUAAUGAAGGUGGUGAUAAUAUUGAUAAUGAUAAUAAUGGAGGUGGCGAUGAUAUUGAUAAUAAUGAUCAUGAUAACAAUGAUAAUUUAAAUAAAAUAAUUUUGUCACUGGUGGUUCGUCUUAUAUAAAACUACCUACGUAUAUUGAAAAGAAACGAGCCACAAUUAACCCUCAAAAUAACGACCAGAAGUGUUUAUAUGGUCCAUUUUAGCAAAACAUGUAACGGGUUCCAAUAAACAUCGUGUCGGAAAUAAUUAUUAUCGUCAUGAAAAUAAAUAUAAUUUUGAAGGAUUGUCAUAUCCAACUCCAUUGGACGUGAUCAAGGUUUUUGAAAAAAAAUAAUAAUAAUGUGUCUAUAAAUCUUUAUGGUAUUAAAAAAAAUAGAUCAAUCUUCGUUAAAAUGUAAAAAUUACCACAUUUUCCCAUUAAGAGUUGUAGAAGAUGAGAAAACUGAUCACUUUGACAUAAUUUUAUUUAAUGGCGGGGAAAAGAGCCACUAUGUAUACAUAUCAAAUUUUUCUCGCUUAAUAAGGUCACAAUCAACAUUGCAUGGUCAUGCGGUUUAUUUCUGCAAACGAUGCUUUACUUCUUUUGAUCAACAAAAUUUAAAAUACAAACUAAAUGGCCAGUUAGCACUCGAACAACAUCGAUUGAUAUGUGGAUUGCACAAGCCGAUACUUCCCAAAAUGCCUGAUGUCGGCACAACACUUCAAUUUAAAUCAUGGGGAAAUGCGAAUCGUCAUCCAUUCACGAUCUAUGCGGACUUCGAGGCGUUGCUUUUCAAAACCGACGAAAUUAAAGGUACAAAUUCUAAAAUAAUACAGACUCAUAACCUAUGAGCUAUGGGUUUGUUGUUAAGGUAUCAGAUGAUGUACCGCUAGAUUUAGUUAAUGCAUUUAAUAUCCCUACCUCACCGGUCAUCCAUCGUGGCAACAUUGGCGAACAGUAUGUCGCAAAACAUUUUGUUGAAAGUAUUGUUGAAGUGUCUCGAAAAAUUGAACAACUACUAAAAACAAAUGUACCAAUCACUAUGAGUGACGAUGAUACGCGUAGACAUAAUGCUAACACACACUGUAAUUUCUGUAAACAGAGUUUCAAUUCAAUAGAGAAAGUCCGCGAUCAUUGUCACCUUAGUGGAAAGUUUCGCUAAUCGUUAUGCUAUAAAUGCAAUAUAACCUUACAGCAACCCAAAUUUGUGCCUUGUCUUUUUCAUAAUCUGUCAAGUUACGAUGCGCAUUUCAUCGUAACGGAACUCGGAUAUGACACAAAAACAAUUGAUGUAAUCCCAAAUACCGAAAAAAAAUAUAUUUCAUUUUCUAAAUAUAUAAGCAAUACGUUCACAAUAAGAUUCGUUGAUACAAUCAAGCUUAUCAUCACUCGCAAAUAAUCUGAUGACAACAGAAUACGAUAAGUUUAGAGAGACAGCUAAACAUUUUUCCACCGUCGAUAAGUCACUCGUAACACGUAAAGGUGUUUAUCCAUACGAGUACACAGACGGAUGGGAAAAAUUAGAUGUCAAUAAUUUACCUGAAAAAGAAGAUUUUUACAGUACUCUUACAGAGUCUGAAGUUAACGAUGAAGAAUAUGAACACGCAAAAAACGUAUGGAACCACUUUUGUUGCCAAAUGCUUGGCGAGUAUUCAGACUUAUAUUUAAAAAUCGAUAUCCUCUUGUUGUCAGAUGUAUUUGAAAGUUUUCGUGAUCUGUGUUUAAAAACAUAUAAUCUGGAUCCAGUAUUUUAUUAUACGGCACCUGGAUUCAGUUUUGAGAGCAUGCUUAAACACACAUCAAUAAAAUUGGAGCUAUCGAGUAACUACGAUAUACUAUUGAUGAUAGAAAAUGGUAAGUUUUUUUUUUUUUUUUUUUUUAUUAAAUAUUUAGAAUUUAACUUUUCCUAUAGGUAUACGAGGGGGAUUAGUUCAAGCGAGCAAACGGUACGCUAAAGCGAAUAAUGAAGAAACUUUAAAUUACGACGCAGCGGCAGAGAAAUCAUGGAUUGUAUAUCAAAAUUGUAAUAAUUUUUAUGGUUGGGCAAUGUCUAAAUGCAUUCCUCGCGGAGGAUUUAAAUUAUUUCAACAUCCUACAUAUUUACGGUUGCUCAUACAUGUCACGCUACACUUAUAACAACACCACCACCUCCGGUAACAAUCAGUGCACUUGGUCGCAUCAUCCAUAACGUCAUCCCCGUGUAUAAUAUAUAAAUUCUGCAUUCACCUCAUUCGUCAGUUGUCAUCAUCAACAUCAACAUCAUAUCACUCCGCAUCAACGUUUUUUGGUUCGAACACUCUCAUAGAUAAAUUUAUAACGGCGUUCUUAGCUUUAUUAAAGAUGCAAAGUAAUAUUACAAAUGGUUCCAUUGCGGACUUAAGAACCAACAUGGCAUACCUAUUACCCGGUGAUUAGCAUGAAGGAGGUCGAUACAAAAUACGGAACAUCGAUUACCUACACGCUGAGAGACACCGAAAUGAGAGGGAUAAUUAACGUUUUCCUCCCAAAAUCUAUUAGACUCAGCAAAGAAGACGUAAUUAGUUAUUAUUUGGGAGAAGUUCCACCGGGUUCAAUGAUAAAUAUUCACAUAAACCUAUUCUCCCCAUUAUGCCCGAAGUUGACACAAUGCUUGAAUUUAAAGCGUGGGGAAUUGCACAACGUCACCUUUUGCAAUUUGUGUAGAUUUUGAGGCAUUACUAAUUAAGACCGAUGUGCGCAGGGGCGUUAAUACGACUAUAAUACAUAAGUAUUAACCUAUGAGUUAUGAUUUGUAGUCAAGGUAUUCGAUGGCGUAUUGGCGUACCGUUGGAACUUAUUGAAAAAUUCAAUAUACUGACUUCUCCGGUUAUUUAUCAUGGUUGUGGUAGUCGAUAGAAGGUUGCAAGAAGUUUUGUAAAUAAUAUUGUGAAAGUAGGUUUGAAAAUUGAAGAGUUAUUAAAGACUAAUUUUCCUAUAUGUAUGAGCGACAAAGAUACACGUAGGUAUAAUAUA